Long non-coding RNA from Carassius gibelio (silver crucian carp), 1010 nucleotides. RefSeq lists it as uncharacterized. The record is from RefSeq and is a predicted model, not a curated record. The transcript has 2 exons. Lineage: Eukaryota; Metazoa; Chordata; Actinopteri; Cypriniformes; Cyprinidae.
GCUGUGACUGUGUGUGGGACCGGCUGAGGACUCUGUGUACCUACAGUUUGCUUUGUAACCGACUGCGUGUGCUUACGUGUGGGUUCGGGAGCAAAUGAAGGGGGCGAACGAGUGAGAGAGAGAGAGAGAGAGGGAGAGAAAAUUAGAGAGGAAAGAAUGUAUGGAAAAAAAAGUUUGAUUAUUCUGGAAGUUAACUCAUAUUGCACUCAAGAAGGACUCAAGAUUUUGGAGGCUACUUCUCGAUAGAAAAAAAAAAAACAUUUUUGAUUACAUUUUGCCAAAAUCACUGGUCUCAAAACAGCAAGUGGGCUCUGGUGACCUUACAGUGAUGGAAUGCCUCGUGAGUGACGGAGAAUCACGCUGAUGGAGAAGUGAAAGUCUUUCGGCUCUGACCCCGAACAAUGAGCUCCGACGUGACGGGAGCAGACAGCCGCCAUCAUGGAAAUGUCACGGCCAACAUCAGAGACCCGGCAGCCUACUCUUUCAUUCCCUUAAUCCACAAUCCCUCCUUUCCUCUCCUGAGCGGCAUACAUAUUCAGCAGCUCAAGUCCUCACCAUUCUAAUGAGGGCUAGACCAGCGGGCUAUGAAAAAGAGGAGAGAUACGGGGAGGUGGGUGAGUGGGGGGUUAAAAGAAAGGAGAGACCGUCUUUGAACUCCUAAAGAAAGAGAGAGACGAGUGAGAGAUGAGGAUGAAUAGAUGGAUGGCUGAAGUGAUAAGAGACAGAUCAAAUGCUCCUGAUUCUUUCCUGUGGUCUUUACACAGCAGGGUUAGUUGUGUCGAUUUAAAUGCUGCUUUAAGAGAGCGUCCUGUUAUAUUUCAUCAUUUCAUUCACUCUGAGACACCUAACGCUGAAGUGUGUCUUUUUUAUGUUUGAUCUAUUUCAGUGUAAAGGGAUGCUUCACCCAAAAUGACGAUUCUAUUAUAAUUCAUGUUGGUUUAGCUUCAUUUGUUCUAAAUGUUUAGCAGAACAGUCACGUCACACUGUUCCGUAAAACUUAUGUGACCACA